AGAGUUUGAAUCCUGGCUCAGGAUGAACGCUGGCGGCGUGCUUAACACAUGCAAGUCGAACGAUUAAACCGCCUUCGGGCGGACAUAGAGUGGCGAACGGGUGAGUAACACGUGACCAACCUGCCCCUUCCUCCGGGACAACCUCGGGAAACCGAGGCUAAUACCGGACGACCCGCGGGAGCCGCAUGGCGCCCGCGGCAAAGCUCAGGCGGGAAGGGAUGGGGUCGCGGCCCAUCAGGUAGUAGGCGGGGUAACGGCCCACCUAGCUGACGACGGGUAGCCGCGCUGAGAGGCGGACCGGCCACAUUGGGACUGAGACACGGCCCAGACUCCUACGGGAGGCAGCAGUGGGGAAUUUUGCGCAAUGGGGGGAACCCUGACGCAGCAACGCCGCGCGCGGGACGAAGGCCUUCGGGUCGCAAACCGCUUUCAGCAGGGAAGACAACGACGGUACCUGCAGAAGAAGCCCCGGCUAACUACGUGCCAGCAGCCGCGGUAAUACGUAGGGGGCGAGCGUUGUCCGGAAUGAUUGGGCGUAAAGGGCGCGUAGGCGGCCUGCUAAGUCUGGAGUGAAAGUCCUGCUUUCAAGGUGGGAAUUGCUUUGGAUACUGGUGGGCUGGAGUGCAGGAGAGGAAAGCGGAAUUACCGGUGUAGCGGUGAAAUGCGUAGAGAUCGGUAGGAACACCAGUGGCGAAGGCGGCUUUCUGGACUGAAACUGACGCUGAGGCGCGAAAGCGUGGGGAGCAAACAGGAUUAGAUACCCUGGUAGUCCACGCUGUAAACGAUGAAUACUAGGUGUGGGAGGACUGACCCCUUCCGUGCCGCAGUUAACACAAUAAGUAUUCCACCUGGGGAGUACGACCGCAAGGUUGAAACUCAAAGGAAUUGACGGGGGCCCGCACAAGCAGUGGAUUAUGUGGUUUAAUUCGACGCAACGCGAAGAACCUUACCAGGACUUGACAUCCUACUAACGAAGCAGAGAUGCAUUAGGUGCCCUUCGGGGAAAGUAGAGACAGGUGGUGCAUGGUUGUCGUCAGCUCGUGUCGUGAGAUGUUGGGUUAAGUCCCGCAACGAGCGCAACCCCUAUUGUUAGUUGCUACGAAAGAGCACUCUAGCGAGACUGCCGUUGACAAAACGGAGGAAGGCGGGGACGACGUCAAAUCAUCAUGCCCCUUAUGUCCUGGGCUACACACGUAAUACAAUGGCACUCAACAAAGGGAGGCAAAGCCGCGAGGUGGAGCAAACCCCCAAAAAGUGUCUCAGUUCGGAUUGCAGGCUGCAACUCGCCUGUAUGAAGCUGGAAUUGCUAGUAAUCGUGGAUCAGCAUGCCACGGUGAAUACGUUCCCGGGCCUUGCACACACCGCC
Molecule: ribosomal RNA, 1366 nt
Filed under: uncultured bacterium
Lineage: Bacteria
Description: bacterial SSU rRNA
Rfam family: Bacterial small subunit ribosomal RNA
Source: RNAcentral